RNAcentral lists this small nuclear RNA (313 nucleotides) under Neotoma lepida (desert woodrat). RNAcentral describes it as "7SK RNA". It matches the Rfam family "7SK RNA". From Rfam's summary of the family: 7SK was discovered as an abundant small nuclear RNA in the mid-70s but a possible function has only recently been suggested. The record is from Rfam by way of RNAcentral. Lineage: Eukaryota; Metazoa; Chordata; Mammalia; Rodentia; Cricetidae.
AGGCCUGUAAUGCAAACAAACUUUUCAAAAUUCAUGGCGCCAGAGUAGAUUCUGCUGAUCUGGCUGGCUAGGCAGGUGACCCCUUCCUUCUGUCACUGCUCCAUGUGUGCGUGUCCCUCCCNAAGCUUUGAGCACAUGUGAAGAGGACACGACCUUCCCGAAUAAGAGGACUUGUCUUUGGUCGAGGGUAUACGCAUAGCUGCACUCUCCUGCUACAACCUCCAAACAAGCUCUCAAAAUUCAUGCUGAAGACUGGAGAGCCAACUCAGUGGUCAGGAGUACUUGUUCUCUUACAAAGCAGCUAGGAUCAAUU